Non-coding RNA from Oryza glumipatula, 110 nucleotides. The record is from Rfam. Lineage: Eukaryota; Viridiplantae; Streptophyta; Magnoliopsida; Poales; Poaceae.
AUCCCAUGAUGAGGGCAGGCGGCCACAUAUUCCUGAAGUCGUUCCCACGCCUCAGGAAUGGACUCAUCCCUUGUCUGCUGGAAACUCGAAAUUCUUCCACGACGGGGGUU